RNAcentral lists this long non-coding RNA (782 nucleotides) under Heterocephalus glaber (naked mole-rat). Its description in RNAcentral is "lncRNA (ENSHGLG00000044916.1)". The record is from RNAcentral. Lineage: Eukaryota; Metazoa; Chordata; Mammalia; Rodentia; Bathyergidae.
CACUGCCCUAAUUCCAGUAGCCUGGAUACAAUAUAAGGGACGCAGAGAGGUUUGCCUUGUCCCUUGUUGCUUUGUUACCUUUUGACUGCCAUGAACUGUUUUUCCUCUGUGAUGCCCUCUGCUAUGCCACCCUACCUUGGAGCCAGGUGAUUAUGGACUGAAACCUCUACAAACUUGAAACAGAAAACUAAUACCCACAAGAGACUGAUCCGAAUCCUCAGUUCUCCCUGGUUAGUAUGGCCGGGCAGACUCUUUUCCUCCGUUUGCCAUUCCCUUCCUGAAGCCUAGCACACACCAUGGGCAACAGAAGGGGCAUUUGGCAAUGUGACCAAACACAGAGGGAUGGACAAGCCCUUUUCAGGGUGUUAACACAGGAGGGAGGGCAGUCUUUUCCACGUGAAGGUGUGAUUGUGUUUACCCCACUGACAGGAUCUGAUGCACCUCUGGUUUUGUUCCAAGUGGAAGAGAGCUGAAUGGCUCACGGCCUGUGCCAGAGAGCUCUGUGAUCACUCUUCUCUGCAGGCCCGGACCUCAUAGACUGAACUAUGAACAGCCACUCAACUGGAAAACCUAAAUGCAAUGGGAGGAAUUGGACACCAGGCAGGGGCCAACUGGUGACACUUGACCACCAAAGACAAGUAUUAGAUAUCUUGUAGGCAGUUAGUGCCUUCUUUAAGGUGCCAGCCCUCCAGGAGCCAACACAGCAAGGAGCCAACAUGCAGGACAGUGAAGACACAUUCACUGAAGGCCAACAUUGUAAAAGGAGAGAAAUUAGCACACCC